Molecule: ribosomal RNA, 321 nt
Filed under: uncultured bacterium
Lineage: Bacteria
Description: bacterial SSU rRNA
Rfam family: Bacterial small subunit ribosomal RNA
Source: RNAcentral
GUGCCAGCCGCCGCGGUAAUACAGAGGGUGCGAGCGUUGUCCGGAAUCACUGGGCGUAAAGGGCGCGUAGGCGGCUUCUCACGCGUGCGGUGAAAGCCCGGGGCUCAACCCCGGGUCGGCCGUGCGGACGGGGAGGCUGGAGUCUGGUAGAGGCCGAUGGAAUUCCGGGUGUAGCGGUGGAAUGCGUAGAGAUCCGGAAGAACACCAGUGGCGAAGGCGGUCGGCUGGGCCAGUCCCGUGAGGGAGCCUGAGGCAACUCGGGUACUGACGCUGAGGCGCGACAGCGUGGGGAGCAAACAGGAUUAGAAACCCCUGUAGUCC